Molecule: ribosomal RNA, 745 nt
Filed under: uncultured bacterium
Lineage: Bacteria
Description: bacterial SSU rRNA
Rfam family: Bacterial small subunit ribosomal RNA
Source: RNAcentral
ACGCUGGCGGCAGGCCUAACACAUGCAAGUCGAGCGGAUGAAGAGAGCUUGCUCUCUGAUUCAGCGGCGGACGGGUGAGUAAUGCCUAGGAAUCUGCCUAUUAGUGGGGGACAACGUUUCGAAAGGAACGCUAAUACCGCAUACGUCCUACGGGAGAAAGCAGGGGACCUUCGGGCCUUGCGCUAAUAGAUGAGCCUAGGUCGGAUUAGCUAGUUGGUGAGGUAAUGGCUCACCAAGGCGACGAUCCGUAACUGGUCUGAGAGGAUGGUCAGUCACACUGGAACUGAGACACGGUCCAGACUCCUACGGGAGGCAGCAGUGGGGAAUAUUGGACAAUGGGCGAAAGCCUGAUCCAGCCAUGCCGCGUGUGUGAAGAAGGUCUUCGGAUUGUAAAGCACUUUAAGUUGGGAGGAAGGGCAUUAACCUAAUACGUUAGUGUUUUGACGUUACCGACAGAAUAAGCACCGGCUAACUCUGUGCCAGCAGCCGCGGUAAUACAGAGGGUGCAAGCGUUAAUCGGAAUUACUGGGCGUAAAGCGCGCGUAGGUGGUUUGUUAAGUUGAAUGUGAAAUCCCCGGGCUCAACCUGGGAACUGCAUCCAAAACUGGCAAGCUAGAGUAGGGCAGAGGGUGGUGGAAUUUCCUGUGUAGCGGUGAAAUGCGUAGAUAUAGGAAGGAACACCAGUGGCGAAGGCGACCACCUGGGCUCAUACUGACACUGAGGUGCGAAAGCGUGGGGAGCAAAC